This is a long non-coding RNA of Octodon degus (degu), 1239 nucleotides long. RefSeq lists it as uncharacterized. Lineage: Eukaryota; Metazoa; Chordata; Mammalia; Rodentia; Octodontidae. The transcript has 3 exons. The record is from RefSeq and is a predicted model, not a curated record.
GGAGUUUCUAAAUGAUGUGAGAAGGAUUUUUCUUCUUGUAAGUUGCCUGUAGAUGGGACUCGGGUCCCCAGAACUGUGGGAGUCCUGCCUCUGUGGAGCACUUGUGUACGAUGUCAGACAGUUUCUUAGCUUCUAGGCAACUCCUCGUGCUGGCAAACGGUGUGCUCGGCCUCGUUCACUGAGAAACUCCAUGAACUCACGCCACGACUGUGUUGCAAAGCAUUCUGAAUGAAUGAAAUCCAAAUUAGUAAGUCUGAACCAUGCUUUCAAUCUUGAGACCCUAGUGACAUGGCACUUGUUUAUGUAAAUCAAUUAAGAUAACACUACAGAAAAUCUAAAAGGAGGUCAUGCUUAUCUUCAACAGCCAAAUAAAUGGGAGAGAAAAGAAAUGGAUGAUUCCAGCCCUAGAAACUCUUGGCAUAAUUCUCCACUAGAGCUGGUGAAGCUGUACUGAUUCAUGCAGCAAUGACCGGGAGCUAAUUUUAAGUUACUACUAGGAGCAAACUUUGGUUUCAUCAUUAGGCACUAAGGCACAAGAUAAUCUGAUUUUGCUUUGUACUCUUCCAGCAAGACAUUGCAAGAUUGGAGUCUACAGAACUGAUUGUGCUCUCACUCUGACUACAAAAUAUUAUAGAUUUGAGUUUGCACUUAGCUGCUUAUUGGAACAGAAACUCUUCUGGGGAUGUGUUUCAAUCUUAGAAAGAAGCACAUUAUUGAUAAGCUGCUUUAACCAUUUGGUCCCUAAUGGCCAUUUAAUGCACUCACAAGCGAUGCAUUAAAAGAUUUCCUAACAAUAAAGAUGUCCCAAAGUCCCUAAAUCAAUUUCAGGCUGUGAUCAUUUCAGGAUAAUGAAAUGGACAGGAGGGAACCAGCCAUCUGGGUAAUUGGGCUUGCAAGUUAGUCUUAAAUAAAUAUAAGAUGAUGUAAUUGUCUGUAGAAUUCCAACCAUUAGUCUUACAGACUCUGAGAGAUUUCAAAACAAUCUGAAGCAUCUUGUUCUGAAUCUGUUGUUGUAAAAAGAACAUGUAUUUUUGUUUUACUGUUCAUCUUUCCCCAUAAAUCAUGCAGAUUUUGUUUUGGGGAAUCUUAUCCACCUAGUUGAUUAUCCACACUGCCUGCAGUUUGUACUAGAACUUUACCUUUCUGAACAUACACCUUUUGAAGAAAAUAGCUACACUUGGGCAUAAGAAAUUAUUUUUAUAAACAUCUGCUCUUCCCUAAAUGACUGCUAAAUAACCA